AAUUAUCAACCUUGCUCGCUUGAGUUAGGCUUGGAUGUGAGGGCUUUGCUGGCUUCCUUCAGUGGAUGGUCUGCUCCCUUUAAAUGCAUUAGUGGGAUCUCUUGUGGACCGUCACUUGGUGUGAUAAUUAUCUAUGCCAUUUGAUUUUGAAGCAAAACUUAUGAGAACCUGCUUAUAACCGUCCUUUCGAGGACAAUCUUUGACA
This 205-nucleotide unclassified non-coding RNA is filed under the name uncultured Nolanea. Its description in RNAcentral is "sequence contains ITS2". Lineage: Eukaryota; Fungi; Basidiomycota; Agaricomycetes; Agaricales; Entolomataceae. The record is from RNAcentral.